GAAAGUAAGUAAGGGCGUAUGGGGGAUGCCUAGGCUCUUGGAGGCUAAGAAGGACGUGGUAAGCUGCGAAAAGCUGCGGGGAUUUGCAAACGAGACUCGAUCCGCAGAUAUCCGAAUGGGACAACCCGGCAGGUAGAAGACCUGUCACACCGCGAGGUGAGCUAACCCUCUGAACUGAAACAUCUAAGUAGGAGGAGGAAAAGAAAGAAACAUCGAUUUCCAAAGUAGCGGCGAGCGAAAUGGAAGAAGCCCAAACCGAUAUUGUUACGGCAAUAUCGGGGUUGUAGGACUGCAAUAUUCAAUUAACAAUGAACUGGAAUGGUCUGGAAAGUCCAUCCAUAGAGAGUGAAAGGCUCGUACAGGUAAGUUUGUUAUGCGAAAGCAGUAUCCUGAGUAUGGCGGGACACGAGGAAUCCUGUCAGAAUCAGCCGGGACCACCCGGUAAGGCUAAAUACUCCCAAGAGACCGAUAGUGGACCAGUACUGUGAAGGAAAGGUGAAAAGAACCCCGAACAGGGGAGUGAAAUAGAACCUGAAACCAUACGCUUACAACCGGUCGGAGCAGCUUCGUGCUGUGACGGCGUGCCUAUUGAAUAAUGAGCCUACGAGUUACUAAUCACUAGCGAGGUUAAGUGCAAGGAUGCACGGAGCCGAAGCGAAAGCGAGUCUGAACAGGGCGUUUAGUUAGUGGUUGUAGACGCGAAACCUUGCGAUCUACCCUUGAGCAGGUUGAAGGUUGGGUAAAACCAACUGGAGGACCGAACGAAUAAGCGUUGAAAAGCUUCUCGAUGACUUGAGGGUAGGGGUGAAAGGCUAAUCAAGCUGGGAAAUAGCUCGUACUCCCCGAAAUGCCUUUUGGGGCAGCGUUGUAAUAAAGAGUCUACUGGAGGUAGAGCUACUGAUUGGAUGCGGGGGCUUCACCGCCUACCAAAUCCUGACAAACUCCGAAUGCCAGUAGUAUGAUUUACAGCAGUGAGUGACUGGGUGCUAAUGUCCAGUCGCAAAAGAGGAACAACUCAGACCAGCAACUAAGGUCCCGAAGAAUAUGCUAAGUUGAUCUAACGAUGUUUUGUUGCAGAGACAGCUAGGAUGUUAGCUUGGAAGCAGCUAUUCAUUCAAAGAGUGCGUAACAGCUCACUAGUCGAGCGACAGAGCGUGGAUAAUAAACGGGCAUCAAGCAUAUCACCGAAGUUCUGGGCGCGAGAGCGCGGUAGGGGAGCAUUCCAUUCAGCGUCGAAGCAGUUUCGUGAGGAAUUGUGGAGCGUAUGGAAAAGCAAAUGUAGGCAUGAGUAACGAUAAUGCGGGAGAGUAACCCGCACACCGCAAGACCAAGGUUUCCUGAUCAACGCUAAUCGGAUCAGGGUUAGUCGGGUCCUAAGGGUAAGCCGAACGGCGAUCUCGAUGGAUAAUCGGUUAAUAUUCCGAUACUAACAUAUACCUCGAUGGAGAGACGAAGGAACGUAAGUGCCGCCACCUGACGGAAUAGGUGGUUAAAGGGCGUAGGUAUAGGGGCAGAUUAAGAGUUAGUCCUUGCUGAAACCUGACAGUACAGAGAGCCUACGGGCAAUUUGAUAGAGCACCCAAGUCGACUUCCGAGAAAAUCUUCUAAGUUAUAGUAUAUGUUACCCGUACCGUAAACCGACACAGGUGGUCGAGGAGAGUAUCCUAAGGUGCUCGAGUGAAUCACGGUUAAGGAACUAGGCAAAUUAACCCCGUAACUUCGGGAAAAGGGGUCCCUAUGAAAGUAGGGCGCAGCGAAGAGGUCCAGGCGACUGUUUAUCAAAAACACAGGGCUCUGCAAAUUCGAAAGAAGACGUAUAGGGCCUGACACCUGCCCGGUGCUGGAAGGUUAAGAGGGGAUGUCAUCGCAAGAGAAGCAUUGAAUCGAAGCCCCAGUAAACGGCGGCCGUAACUAUAACGGUCCUAAGGUAGCGAAAUUCCUUGUC
Molecule: ribosomal RNA, 1945 nt
Filed under: human gut metagenome
Description: bacterial LSU rRNA
Rfam family: Bacterial large subunit ribosomal RNA
Source: RNAcentral